UACGGAGGAUGCAAGCGUUAUCCGGAUUUAUUGGGUUUAAAGGGUGCGUAGGCGGGACUGUAAGUCAGGGGUGAAAUACUGCAGCUUAACUGUAGCAUUGCCUUUGAAACUGCCGUUCUUGAGUACAGUUGAGGUAGGCGGAAUGUGGUGUGUAGCGGUGAAAUGCAUAGAUAUACCACAGAACGCCGAUUGCGAAGGCAGCUUACUAAGCUGUUACUGACGCUGAGGCACGAAAGCGUGGGGAUCAAACAGGAUUAGAUA
This 261-nucleotide ribosomal RNA is filed under the name uncultured prokaryote. RNAcentral describes it as "partial 16S ribosomal RNA". It matches the Rfam family "Bacterial small subunit ribosomal RNA", at positions 524 to 784 of the family's 1533-position model. The record is from RNAcentral.